CAGAGGAGGGAAAGGCAGUUUCCUUAGACCCACUGCUUUCUCUAGUCUCCAUUGUGCUUAUUACACCUUGACACGUGUUUGCUAACUUGUUUGUUGACUUCUCUCCCGGACCCUCGACUUCAUUCACUGCUGUAUUCUCAGUACCUAGAACAGUGCUUGGAACGUGGCGGGUGCACAUAUUGGUGGAAAGAACGAUUCCCGGGAGAGCGGGGCUCAGCGACAUCGCCAAGUGAUCUGUAGUCUUGGAGCCGCCCAGGGUUGGUGGUACCCUAGAGCACACCAGACUUGCAGAGAAAGCAGACUCAGAGGAAGCUGAGGCAUAACUGCUCAAGAGCCAGCAGUACGAUGUGCAAUUUUCCUCUGAUAGUUCCUGGGUACUGUUGCCACGGUGAUAAUGGCUGUGCCAGUGCCGUUAUCUAUCAACCGACAAUUCCUGGAUUCCAGGUAAAUCAGAGGAACAAACCUGAACAGAAAUAUACAGGAAGUGAUGUGAUGCUGAAGCUUAACGCUUAUUUCAGAAGUCUGGUAUCUGGUGCUCUUAACAGCAGAAACUAUAUUAUUUGCAAAAUCACCACGCUUUUACUUGUAUUAUAUAGUAAUUUUUUAAAAAAUAAAUAUUGACAAUUUGUUCUUGAAAGCCUGAAUUGUUUAUUGCCUACCCUAAACUGUCUAAUUCUGCUCUUGUGUCAACUGGAAUAGGGAAGAGUAUUUGCAAGCUUAAGAUCUGAGGAUCCAGGAGUUCCGUGGUGGCUCAGUGGUUAACGAAUCCAACUAGGAACCAUGAGGCCUUGCUCAGUGGGUUGAGGAUCCAGCAUUGCCAUGAGCUGUGGUGUAGGUCGCAGAUGCGGCUCAGAUCUGGUGUUGCUAUGGGCUGUGGUAUAGGCCGGUGGCUACAGCUGACUGAACCACUAGCCUAGGAACCUCCAUAUGCUGUGGCGUAGCCCUAGAAAAGGCAAAAGGACAAAAAAAUCUGAGGAUCCAGAGUUGUAGAGCUAGUCUUGGGCUAGAUCCUUUAAGCUAGUCAUGGGGAGUCAUGCAAGUAUUGUUAGACAUUUUGUUAAAUUGAGAAUACGCCGUCAUUAAAGUUUAAGCAUGAUCAUUGGGCCAGAGAAUCAAAGGCUGUGUUGUCCAAACCGACAGUAGAGUUGCUGUGUACAGUCAAGUAUAGUACGUUUGUCUGGAAUGCAGGGAUGUGGAUGGCAUCUCAGGGCCCUUUCAAGGAGCUAAGUGAGAUGGCUUUGACACCCUGAUCAAGGCCAGGAAAGCAGCUCAGGUAUCUAAACCCCCCAAAUAGAAACAACAGACCUAAAUUUAAGGUUUUAAUAAAACAACCAAAAAUGUCAAAUGUUGAACAUACUCCUUUCUGUCUUUGAUUUAAAAAAAACCACUCAUCAAGUAUUGGCACCAAACAUCAGCGAUUUAAAGAAUCAAGGAAACAGUACAAAAUAUUUCUCUCAAAGCGCCCAACUCAGGUAGAUGAUUUGGCAUGUGAGGUUUGAGUCUUCUCAUUAGAAACUAUAGCAGAAGUGUAGCAAAAGUUGUGACCUCUCUCAUGAGGACAUUGAUGGGAGGUGGGGGUGGGAAGUACACAGAAAUUUAUGAGAAUCCUGAGACUUGGAUCAUAAAAUGUAGUUAGACUCCAAACAAAUCAUCCCACGUACACAUGCUGACUGGGACAUUCUAAAAAUGUUUUUCUUCCCUCUGUUUAUUUAUAGAGACAGCUUCACUAUAUUUAGAAAAAUUUCUCCUUUCUACCCACUCCUCCAAAAGCAAAUUCACCAUGGAACCCAUAGUCGAGGCCUUGGGCAUUUGAGAUUGUUUCCUCCUAUGUAUCAGCCCUAAACGAGGAGAGCGGGUUGUUGAGCCUUACUCGAACCCUCAGCUGGUCCGUGUUUUCAUACCCUAGCUUUAGCCCCAAAAUCCAUGCUGUGUUUUGUUUUUGUUUUUUUGUUUGUUUAUUUCUUUCUUUUUAGGGCCACACCUGUGGCACACCCAGGCUGGGGGUUGAAUUGGAGCUGCAGCUGCCUGCCUAUACCACAGCCGUAGCAACACUGGAUCGGAGCUGCAUCCAUGACCUAAGCCCCUGCUUUCAGCAACAUUGGAUCCUUAACCCACUGAGUGAGGCCAGGGAUUGAACCUACAUCCUCAAGGGGACGAGUCGGGUUCAUAACUCACUGAGCUGCAAAGGAACUCCCAUGCUGGGUUCUGACAAGUGGGUGUGGCUAAUGUACAUGGGGACGCACCCCCAGAGAUGUCUGGGUCCUAGCUGGCCAGAGCACUGGGUAAGUGUCAUUUUAAGAGAAAAGCGGCUGCUUGGGUUGCAGGAGGGGUUGAGCCGCCAAACAUUCCUGAGCUAAAAUAGUCUUUGAAACCCAGAUUUCCAUCAACCUGAGCUGGAACCUGAGACCUUUCUCCAUGAUGCCCAGAGCUACUCAGUAAUUUUAGGGCAUCACUGCAACCCUGGAGUCAACUUGAGUCCCUAAAAAUGAUGUAACGGAGAGAACAAGGCAACGCCCAGCCCUUGGAGAGAAUUGAGAGACUUUUUGCUAGUCCGUAAUGCAAAGAUAGAAAUGGCUGUGGGAUCUCUGCUACCUCUCUCCGCCAAGACAGCUGGUUUUAUAAAUACUUCUCCAGCCACGGGAGUGGCCUCAGUUCUGCUAAUCCCCUACUCUCAUCACGUGGGCUCAGCCUAGAGGCCAGGAGGGAGGCCUCCUUUGGGCCCCCUUCCACUCUAUCACAAAGGUCCUGCUCUCCCGCGCAAGAGGAAGCCAAAUGAUACACUCUAACUUCGGUUAGUUCAGUCUAGAACAGACUGUGGGAGCUGCAGGUAAACAUGCAGUCCCGAAGAAGAAUUUAGGAAAAGGCUGGCUGCCACACCAGAGCUGGUUCUGCUCGGGGAUUUCGAAUGUAGAGGUGUGGGGCCAGGCUUCCAGUCCUAAGCAUCACUAAAUAGUUAGGAUAUCUCUGGGAUUUUCCUUGGAAUUUUCCACCCCUCACUUCUUCCCCUUCCUGAAUUUAUGAAAACUGUACUUGUAAUAUCUGCAAAACGCCUCUUUCAAGAUGUCUUUGUACAACAGCUGUGGAGUGGAGAUGAAUCCCUCUCUGCUCUAUUCCCCUGCUCCCACAUGUUUACCCCCGGAAUAUUGCCAUGCAUGUGUACUCGAAUAAUUCAUUUUAAACCUGCAUUAACCCCAGAAUAAGAGUUCUCAGGCAUUUUAGUCCCUAAAUUAAAUCCUCUGUUCACUCCCUCUUUGGUGAUAGUAUCUUUUUGACAGAUCUGAGCACUUUGGGUUCCUAAGUUUUAUUACCUUCACAAGCAUUUUUUAAAAUCUCACUGUCAGGAGUUCUCAUUGUGGCUCAGCGGGUUAAGAACCAGACUAGUAUUCAUGAGGAUGCGGGUUCUGUCCCUGGCCUCGUUGAGUGGGUUAAAGGUUCCGGUGUUGCCCCACGCUGCUGCCUAGGUCAAAGGCUUGGAUCCCUUGUGGCUGUGGCUGUGGUGUAGGGCGGUAGCCCUAAAAAGCCAAAAAAAAAAAAAACAAAAACAAAAACAAAAACAAAAACCUUUCAAAAUCUUAGGUCUUUUGAGAAACUUGGAGUAUUUCCUAAGGAGUCCGCCUUACCCCGUGAGGUAGGUAGGGGGCGCUCGUCCAUCUUACUUAGGAAGCAGGGGCACCUAGAGCCAGUCAGUGUUGUCCUGUCCCUGCAUUCAGGGCCUGGGAAGGAAUCGGCUGGCCGGAUUCUAGGGAGACUCAGUUCCCACCCAAGGCCUGUUCUUACUUUAGGGAAUGGUUUCCUUGCUUAGUUUACUAAUAUUAGAAAACAUAUUAGAAGCAAUAAGUUUAAAAGGCCAACAGAAAAGCAGGACGACGCAAUGACUAACAGGUUAGUAGGAGAUUUUAAAAAUUGUGAAGCAGAUAUUCUGGGAUUUUUCUUUUUUUCUUUUUAGAGCUGCAUUCUGGGAGCAUUUGACGUGAGCAGUAGCGAAGAGCUCUCACAGGUCACAACUCUGUGAGCCCUAGAACCCUGUGUAACAAUUCCCAGUCACCAAGAAAAGGAAAUGAUAUUCCACGUGCUUGGGUUAAGAAGUCAGUGUUAUUAGAUUGCCAACCAAAAUACGGCCGAAGUGGGUUAUGUUAAAAAAUAAACUUCCGAGGAAUACUUUUUUCCCUCAUUAUGUCCGAUAAGCAGGGUUUUAUUUCACUCCUGUCAUGUAGCUCAUAUUAAUGCAUGAUGAGCACCUUAGAAACAGUUAAUAAAUUUAGGUGGUGAACUCUAUUGGCCUAGGAGUUUCCAUCGUGGUGCAGUGGUUAACAAAUCCAAUUAGGAACCAUGAGGUUGCGGGUUCGAUCCCUGGGCUUGCUCAGUGGGUUAAGGAUCCAGUGUUGCCGUGAGCUGUGGUGUAGGUCGCAGACUCGGCUCGGAUCCUAUGGUGCUGUGGUUGUGGCGAAGGCUGGUGGCUACAGCUCCAAUUUCACCCCUAGCCUGGGAAUCUCCAUAUGCCGUGGGUGCAGCCCUAAAAACCAAAAAAUUUUUUUUAAUUUUUAAAAAGAAAAAAAAAUAAAUAAAUAAAAGGGAAGGACAUUCCAGGGAGAGGAAACAACACUGCAGAGGCACAAAGGCCCAGGCAUCCUGGGGCGGGGGGAGGGGGUGAGACGGAGUGUUUUUCUUUUUCUUUCCUUUUUUUUCUUUAAAUGGCCACACCCGUGGCAUAUGGAGGUUCCCGGGCUAGGGGUGAAAUCGGAGCUGUAGCUGCUGGCCUUUACCACAGCCACAGCAACAUAGGAUCAGAGCUGUGUCUGGGACCUACACCACAGCUCAUGGCAUGGCCGGAUCUUUAGCCCACUGAGCGAGGCCAGGGAUCGAACUUGUGUCCUCAUGGAUGCUAGUCGGAUUUGUUUCUGCUGAGCCAUGACAGGAACUCCCAGGGUGUUUGUCUAAUAGAAACACAGACAAGUGAAUGCAGCCGAGGGCUGUAGGAUUUCAUCCUCAGCAUGAGAGAAGGUCCCCAGAAGCUGCAGAGUUCCUGAGCGUUGGGCCUGGUAGGCACGUUGAUGAAUUGGAGGUGGCACUGAUGGGGGCGGGGGAGGGGGAGGCCAGCCAGGAGACCGUGUCAAAUGCCACGCCAGGGCUCUGGCCUGUGUCCCGUGAGUGAAGGGCACCAAUGCAAAGGGCAUGCACAUUUGAUACUUUGAGGGUAGGACGGACAGCAUCAGGUGACCGGCCCAUGUGGGCAGGGGACCGGAGAGAAGAGGGCGGGACUCAGGCUCCCCCUCCGUUUCUGGCUUAGCAGCUGGGGCGCAUGCUUGCUGAUGCCGAGACCACAGGCGAGGCAGGAGGAUUGAAGGAGCGAGUCACCUAUUCCUUGCAGUCAUUCUGAGUCUGAGGAGUCUGAAGGGCAUCUGUCUAAAU
RNAcentral lists this long non-coding RNA (5409 nucleotides) under Sus scrofa (pig). Lineage: Eukaryota; Metazoa; Chordata; Mammalia; Artiodactyla; Suidae. The record is from RNAcentral.